RNAcentral lists this ribosomal RNA (292 nucleotides) under uncultured bacterium. RNAcentral's name for it is "partial 16S ribosomal RNA". It matches the Rfam family "Bacterial small subunit ribosomal RNA", at positions 505 to 796 of the family's 1533-position model. The record is from RNAcentral.
GUGCCAGCCGCCGCGGUAAUACAGAGGGUGCAAGCGUUGUUCGGAAUUAUUGGGCGUAAAGCGCGUGUAGGCGGCCUUGCAAGUUGGGUGUGAAAGCCCUCGGCUCAACCGAGGAAGUGCGCCCAAAACUAUGAGGCUUGAGUACCGGAGAGGAUGGCGGAAUACCCGGUGUAGAGGUGAAAUUCGUAGAUAUCGGGUGGAACACCAGCGGCGAAGGCGGCCAUCUGGACGGAUACUGACGCUGAGACGCGAAAGCGUGGGGAGCAAACAGGAUUAGAAACCCCGGUAGUCC